This 354-nucleotide ribosomal RNA is filed under the name uncultured bacterium. Its description in RNAcentral is "partial 16S ribosomal RNA". It matches the Rfam family "Bacterial small subunit ribosomal RNA", at positions 338 to 689 of the family's 1533-position model. The record is from RNAcentral.
CCUACGGGAGGCUGCAGUGAGGAAUAUUGGUCAAUGGGGGCGACCCUGAACCAGCCAAGUAGCGUGAAGGAUGACUGCCCUACGGGUUGUAAACUUCUUUUAUAAAGGAAUAAAGUGAGGCACGUGUGCCUUUUUGCAUGUACUUCAUGAAUAAGGACCGGCUAAUUCCGUACCAGCAGCCGCGGUAAUACGGAGGAUCCGAGCGUUAUCCGGAUUUAUUGGGUUUAAAGGGAGCGUAGAUGGGUUGUUAAGUCAGUUGUGAAAGUUUGCGGCUCAACCGUGAAAUUGCAGUGGAUACUGGGAGCCUGGAGUGCGGGUGAGGUAGGCGGAAUUCGUGGUGUAGCGGUGAAAUGC